AACGCUGGCGGCAUGCUUUACACAUGCAAGUCGAACGGCAGCACGGGGGCAACCCUGGUGGCGAGUGGCGAACGGGUGAGUAAUAUAUCGGAACAUGUCCGGAAGUGGGGGAUAACGUAGCGAAAGUUACGCUAAUACCGCAUAUGCCCUGAGGGGGAAAGGAGGGGAUCGCAAGACCUUUCGCUUUCGGAGUGGCCGAUAUCAGAUUAGCUAGUUGGUGGGGUAAAGGCCUACCAAGGCAACGAUCUGUAGCUGGUCUGAGAGGACGACCAGCCACACUGGGACUGAGACACGGCCCAGACUCCUACGGGAGGCAGCAGUGGGGAAUUUUGGACAAUGGGGGCAACCCUGAUCCAGCCAUGCCGCGUGAGUGAAGAAGGCCUUCGGGUUGUAAAGCUCUUUCAGCCGGAAAGAAAUCGUGCAGAUUAAUACUCUGUAUGGAUGACGGUACCGGAAGAAGAAGCACCGGCUAACUACGUGCCAGCAGCCGCGGUAAAACGUAGGGUGCGAGCGUUAAUCGGAAUUACUGGGCGUAAAGCGUGCGCAGGCGGUUUUGUAAGACAGGUGUGAAAUCCCCGGGCUUAACCUGGGAACUGCAUUUGUGACUGCAAGGCUAGAGUAUGGCAGAGGGGGGUAGAAUUCCACGUGUAGCAGUGAAAUGCGUAGAUAUGUGGAGGAAUACCGAUGGCGAAGGCAGCCCCCUGGGUCAAUACUGACGCUCAUGCACGAAAGCGUGGGGAGCAAACAGGAUUAGAUACCCUGGUAGUCCACGCCCUAAACGAUGUCAACUAGGUGUUGGGGGAGGAGACUUCCUUAGUACCGCAGCUAA
RNAcentral lists this ribosomal RNA (829 nucleotides) under uncultured bacterium. RNAcentral describes it as "bacterial SSU rRNA". It matches the Rfam family "Bacterial small subunit ribosomal RNA", at positions 32 to 855 of the family's 1533-position model. The record is from RNAcentral.